Molecule: ribosomal RNA, 253 nt
Filed under: uncultured bacterium
Lineage: Bacteria
Description: partial 16S ribosomal RNA
Rfam family: Bacterial small subunit ribosomal RNA
Source: RNAcentral
UACGUAGGGUGCAAGCGUUGUCCGGAAUUAUUGGGCGUAAAGAGCUCGUAGGCGGUUCGUCGCGUCGGCUGUGAAAACCUGAGGCUCAACCUCAGGCCUGCAGUCGAUACGGGCGGACUUGAGUACUGCAGGGGAGACUGGAAUUCCUGGUGUAGCGGUGAAAUGCGCAGAUAUCAGGAGGAACACCGAUGGCGAAGGCGGGUCUCUGGGCAACAACUGACGCUGAGGAGCGAAAGCGUGGGGAGCGAACAGG